Small nuclear RNA from Ochotona princeps (American pika), 164 nucleotides. RefSeq annotates it as U1 spliceosomal RNA. The record is from RefSeq and is a predicted model, not a curated record. Lineage: Eukaryota; Metazoa; Chordata; Mammalia; Lagomorpha; Ochotonidae. The transcript has a single exon.
AGACUUACCUGGCAGGAGAGAUACCAUGAUCAUGAAGGUGAUUUUCCCAGGGCGAGUCUUAUCCAUUGCACUCCAGAUAUGCUGACCCCUGUGAUUUCCCCAAAUGUGAAAAACUCAACUGCAUAAUUUGUGGUAGUGGAGGACUGCAUUUGCGCUCUCCCCUG